RNAcentral lists this ribosomal RNA (306 nucleotides) under uncultured bacterium. RNAcentral describes it as "partial 16S ribosomal RNA". It matches the Rfam family "Bacterial small subunit ribosomal RNA", at positions 507 to 807 of the family's 1533-position model. The record is from RNAcentral.
GACAGCAGCCGCCGCGGGAAUACGAAGGGUGCAAGCGUUAAUCGGAAUUACUGGGCGUAAAGCGUGCGUAGGCGGUGAGUUAAGUCCGUUGUGAAAGCCCUGGGCUCAACCUGGGAAUUGCAGUGGAUACUGGGUCACUAGAGUGUGGUAGAGGAUAGUGGAAUUUCCGAUGUAGCGGUGAAAUGCGUAGAGAUCGGGAGGAACAUCAGUGGCGAAGGCGGCCAUCUGGGACAACACUGACGCUGAGGCACGAAAGCGUGGGGAGCAAACAGGAUUAGAUACCCCAGUAGUCCCUGUCUCUUAUAC